AGUGAACGCUGGCGGUAGGCCUAACACAUGCAAGUCGAACGGCAGCACAGUAGGAGCUUGCUCUUACGGGUGGCGAGUGGUGGACGGGUGAGGAAUACAUCGGAAUCUACUUUUUCGUGGGGGAUAACGUAGGGAAACUUACGCUAAUACCGCAUACGACCUACGGGUGAAAGCAGGGGAUCUUCGGACCUUGCGCGAUUGAAUGAGCCGAUGUCGGAUUAGCUAGUUGGCGGGGUAAAGGCCCACCAAGGCGACGAUCCGUAGCUGGUCUGAGAGGAUGAUCAGCCACACUGGAACUGAGACACGGUCCAGACUCCUACGGGAGGCAGCAGUGGGGAAUAUUGGACAAUGGGCGCAAGCCUGAUCCAGCCAUACCGCGUGGGUGAAGAAGGCCUUCGGGUUGUAAAGCCCUUUUGUUGGGAAAGAAAAGCAGCAGGUUAAUACCCCGCUGUUCUGACGGUACCCAAAGAAUAAGCACCGGCUAACUUCGUG
This 492-nucleotide ribosomal RNA is filed under the name uncultured bacterium. Its description in RNAcentral is "partial 16S ribosomal RNA". It matches the Rfam family "Bacterial small subunit ribosomal RNA", at positions 29 to 507 of the family's 1533-position model. The record is from RNAcentral.